GUGUCAUCUUCUCUAUCACAAUUCACAAUUCCCUGCAGAUAUUUCCUAUUUCAGUUCCCGCGUCCCGUCCCCCACACACAGUCACACAGAAUGGCAGCGGCAGUGAAUUGCUACCUCUCAGUGACUUCAACAGCCACACCCACAUCUCAAGAUUCUCCACAGCCAACAAUCACUAGGCCGCCGACCAAGAUCAUACUGCCCAAUAAAAAGCCUAUGAAAUGGUCUACAGGGGUGGCUCCGGGUGAGUAUGGGGGCCCACCCACCACAACGAAGCUCAGGAAAUACUGGGGUGGAGAUGAGGACCCUCUUGCCUCUGAUGAAUACUUGUGGAACAAAGACUUCAUGGGUCGAAUGAAAAAGUUCAUUCAAGACCCCGUCGAUGUCGACACUAAUUCUGACCCUCGAUUCUCAUCUGCGAAGGUCCAGUAUUUGGCCAAUUGAUUAUUUUUGGUUUGUCAUUAUCUGGGUUUUUUUGAGUGAUUUAUAUUGUGGGUUUUAUUUUUGCUGUUGCUUUUGUAUGAGAAAUUAGUAAAAAUGGGGAUUUUUUGAGAUUUAUUGUUUUGGAAUUUGGAACUUGGAUAAUACUGCUUGUUGAACAUUGUAUAGGGAUGUCUAGGGUCAUUUUUUCCCCUUCUUUUCACAGAGAAUUUCUAGAAUGUUCUGCUUGUCUAAUUAAUUGACUGUUCUACGAAGUACUGCUGAUCUAAUUUUGCGGUUUCAUUCCGAAACUGUUUGUUCUGAUUUUACCACAGAUCGAAUUUUUAUUGCUUUUAGUUGAUGAAUAUAUUGUCCAGGUAUCAGCACUGAAUUUGAUAAAUUAUACUGUUUUGGUAUGUUUCUGAACAGGAAGAGCCUUGUGGAUUUCUUAGCUUGAACAGAGUGAUGAGCUUGGACAGGUGCACAACCUUUUAUUUUUGGAAAUUGUUAUUUUAUUUUGUCUUGAAUUCCUAUACUGCUUUCCCGUGUAAUAGUCCCACUCUUUGAGGAUGCAGUUUGGAAAUUGACUUGAGCAAAGAGUUAACAGCGACUUCAAGAUCUGCGGUUGAACCACGAGUUGAAGAAAUUCAAGUGUGACAGAUUUUAAGUUCCCUUUGAAAAAAUGGUCUGUAAAACUAGUUUGCAUUUGUUAUUUUCCAUACUCAUCAGGAUUGAAAUAAUUUGUAGAGUAAUAGCAUUGCUUCUCGAAAAUGGAGACCAGCCCCAACACGACGUGAGCUAGAGAAGUGGGACAGAGCUACUAAAGCUGCAACUGGAGGCAGUGUAUGUAGUUUCAUUUUGGAUAUACAAUUUUCUUCUCAUCUUAUAUGCUUAAACUUCUGUUUGUUUAAAACAAAUUGCUGAUUUUCGAGCUGAAUAUAUAUAUUGUAUUUUUUAAGAAAUCCUUUUACGUUAAUCCAAGUUUUCUUGUUCUGCAGGAAGUGAUGUUUAGGGAAUCAAAGCGUCCCAGAGGGGACCCAGAAGUGUUGGCUGCUCAGUCAAGGGAACAGUACUAUAAGGUUUUUUGAAGAAAAUAUUAGCUUCUACAUCCUUAAGAUCUUUAGUUGGAAGUUCCAAUCUCUCCUUUUAAUGUUUUUGCAGUUGAAGAAUAAAUUGCAGUUCCUCACACUGGGCAUUGGUGGUGUUGGUGUAAUCUCAGCGUAUUGUUCUUAUUCUCCAGAAAUUGCAGCAAGGUAAG
RNAcentral lists this long non-coding RNA (1675 nucleotides) under Olea europaea subsp. europaea. The record is from RNAcentral. Lineage: Eukaryota; Viridiplantae; Streptophyta; Magnoliopsida; Lamiales; Oleaceae.